AUAUUGAUUUGGCAGAUUAGUGCAUUAAAUUUAGAAUUUAAAUAUGUAUAUUUACAAUCAAUA
Molecule: transfer RNA, 63 nt
Filed under: Ptomaphagus hirtus
Lineage: Eukaryota; Metazoa; Arthropoda; Insecta; Coleoptera; Leiodidae
Also listed under: 5 other names
Description: tRNA-Leu
Source: RNAcentral